UACGUAGGGGGCAAGCGUUGUCCGGAUUUAUUGGGCGUAAAGAGCGUGUAGGCGGUUAUACAGGUCCGCUGUGAAAACUGGAGGCUUAACCUCCAGACGUCGGUGGAAACCGUAUGACUAGAGUCCGGGAGAGGAGAGUGGAAUUCCUGGUGUAGCGGUGAAAUGCGCAGAUAUCAGGAAGAACACCCGUGGCGAAGGCGGCUCUCUGGGACGGUACUGACGCUGAGACGCGAAAGCGUGGGGAGCGAACAGG
This 253-nucleotide ribosomal RNA is filed under the name uncultured bacterium. RNAcentral describes it as "partial 16S ribosomal RNA". It matches the Rfam family "Bacterial small subunit ribosomal RNA", at positions 524 to 776 of the family's 1533-position model. The record is from RNAcentral.